GACGAACCGUGCGAACGUUGUUCGGAAUUACUGGGUGUAAAGGGUUCGUAGGCGGUGCGGCAAGUUGGGAGUGAAAUCUCUGGGCUUAACCCAGAGGCUGCUUCCAAAACUGCUGUGCUUGAGUGUGGGAGAGGCGCGUGGAAUUGCAGGUGUAGCGGUGAAAUGCGUAGAUAUCUGCAGGAACACCCGUGGCGAAAGCGGCGCGCUGGACCACUACUGACGCUGAGGAACGAAAGCUAGGGGAGCAAACAGG
RNAcentral lists this ribosomal RNA (253 nucleotides) under uncultured bacterium. RNAcentral's name for it is "partial 16S ribosomal RNA". It matches the Rfam family "Bacterial small subunit ribosomal RNA", at positions 524 to 776 of the family's 1533-position model. The record is from RNAcentral.